GCCUCUCUGGUGGCAGAGUCAAACUAGGUGGGCCGUCGCCGCCAUUAUCUCCGAUCGUAGCAACCUGGGUCUCUUGCUCUGCCUCCACCUCGCCUUGGCAACAGAGAAUUUCCCUGCCAUGUCUGUGUCUCGAUCCAGCUAUGGAGAUGCGUUUUUCUCUCAUCUUAGCGUACUUGCAGGGCAGCGUUGCAUGUCUUCACACGGCUGUGGACGAUAAGGUGUUGUAAUUGGGAUUCAAGUGAGGUGGGUCAAAUCAUACCUCCCCUUCUCCAUGUAAAUAUGUGUUUCAGGAUUGGCCAUGGGUUCCCCUUCACAUUAUUUUAACCCUGUACACCUUCCUUCCUUCUGGGUGGACUCCCUUCUGUUCCUCCUACUGCAGCAUUCGUACUUGUGUCGUGUGCAUCGUGCUGAAAAAUAUUGAGAAGUACAGGUAUUGUUCCGCCUGUACAACAAGAACAGGUUUUAUGUGUGUGAGAGUACAUGUAGAGACUUGAUCUCAUAUGCAAAGAGAUUAAUUGAUGAUAGCAACAGACUUGUACUUGUAUAUAUUUUUCUUCCGCAAGGGGAUAGCUUUGGAACCAUCUACUUGACAGAUAGCAAAUUUGUUAUACUAGCUGCAAUAUAUUGAUUUUUUAAG
RNAcentral lists this long non-coding RNA (637 nucleotides) under Triticum aestivum (bread wheat). RNAcentral's name for it is "long non-coding RNA (TAES_LNC014844)". The record is from RNAcentral. Lineage: Eukaryota; Viridiplantae; Streptophyta; Magnoliopsida; Poales; Poaceae.